GUUCUCGUAGUUCAAUGGAUAGAACGAGGCCCUCCUAAGGCCUAGAUACAGGUUCGAUUCCUGUCGGGGACGCCA
RNAcentral lists this transfer RNA (75 nucleotides) under Leeia speluncae. RNAcentral's name for it is "tRNA-Arg". It matches the Rfam family "tRNA". From Rfam's summary of the family: Transfer RNA (tRNA) molecules are approximately 80 nucleotides in length. Their secondary structure includes four short double-helical elements and three loops (D, anti-codon, and T loops). The record is from RNAcentral. Lineage: Bacteria; Pseudomonadati; Pseudomonadota; Betaproteobacteria; Neisseriales; Leeiaceae.